Molecule: ribosomal RNA, 253 nt
Filed under: uncultured bacterium
Lineage: Bacteria
Description: partial 16S ribosomal RNA
Rfam family: Bacterial small subunit ribosomal RNA
Source: RNAcentral
UACGUAGGUGGCGAGCGUUGUCCGGAUUUACUGGGCGUAAAGGGAGCGUAGGCGGAUUUUUAAGUGAGAUGUGAAAUACUCGGGCUCAACUUGAGUGCUGCAUUUCAAACUGGAAGUCUAGAGUGCAGGAGAGGAGAAUGGAAUUCCUAGUGUAGCGGUGAAAUGCGUAGAGAUUAGGAAGAACACCAGUGGCGAAGGCGAUUCUCUGGCCUGUAACUGACACUGAGGCUCGAAAGCGUGGGGAGCAAACAGG